This 229-nucleotide ribosomal RNA is filed under the name uncultured bacterium. Its description in RNAcentral is "partial 16S ribosomal RNA". It matches the Rfam family "Bacterial small subunit ribosomal RNA", at positions 568 to 796 of the family's 1533-position model. The record is from RNAcentral.
UGCGUAGGCGGAAUAUUAAGUCAGUGGUGAAAGCCUACAGCUCAACUGUAGAACUGCCAUUGAUACUGAUAUUCUUGAGUAUAGUUGUAGUGGGCGGAAUAUAUCAUGUAGCGGUGAAAUGCUUAGAUAUGAUAUAGAACACCGAUCGCGAAGGCAGCUCACUAAGCUAUAACUGACGCUCAGGCACGAAAGCGUGGGGAGCAAACAGGAUUAGAUACCCUGGUAGUCC